GAUUGCUCUUCUUGGAGUCUUCUCAGUAAGCUUAGGACAAGGAAAUGACUGAAAGAAAGCAACACCUGAACGAUGUGGAAUGUGCUGGGGCACAGUGAAGUGGUCCUGAGGAAGCUGUGUGUGAGCAAGCAAUGCUGCAGAGGUGCUGUGUGGGCCAACAAGAACACCUGCAAUGAGGUGGCACAGGGAGGUAUAUUUCUGCUUAAGCACAAGUCAGCAACCAUGUGUUUAGGAACAGAGUUGGCAUGCUGGGAGCAGUGACGUGCUGGAAGUAGAAAUUGUUCAGUGUAAAAAUUCAUAGGAUCAUUAAGGUUGGAAGAAGAUAUCUAAGGUCAUCAAUCCCAACUGUCAACCCAUCCACCACAAUGCUCACUAAAACACAUCUGUACUGCCUUAUGUAGGAAGGAAAAUGGUCUGCUGCCUGUUUGUCUCCUUUGCCUCAUGAAACGUGGCUCGGGCUUUUUGCAUGUAAGCCUAUGGAGCGUAUGGUUGUACAGAAGAGCCUGCUUUUUGGUUGUUUGUUUUUUGCUUUUUUUAACCUUUUCUCACAGUAGAAAGCCAUCGUGUCUGUUAAAACAGUGAAAAAUUGAGAGGCUAAUUGUUGCUGCUAAAUGCAAUAAAGUAGUACUUUGGGCUCUCAGGCAUGUUUUAUGACCGAUAUGGCAAUUACUGAAUAAAAUCCCAUGCCCCAGAAUGUUUAUUUGCGUAAACAACUUAUGGUUAUUUAUUCAUAUUUUAUGAAUAUUUUUUUCAAAAUUGUAUUAACCAUCCCUUGUGGUACAAAAUACAGUUGGUUGGGGGAAAAAAAAAUAUAUGCCACAUGCUAAAUGGAAGGAUCCAUUGAGAAUCUAGUCCUGAAUGUGUUUAAAGCCCUGUUUUAUUCAGCAUGAUUAGCUGUGUUACAAGCCACCAUUAUGUUCUGGCAAGCUCUGUCUGAUUUGAAGCAGUCCUUGCUUUCCUCACAAUAACACUUUACUUGCUGGUCUCUUACCAUGCUGGUUGGCUGGCUCAUUUAAAACCUCUCACAUAAGCUCAGACCAGGGUUCAACCAAGAUACUUUCCAGCUGGUGCUGGUGGCAUUUGACAGCUUUUCUUCAUGAUUGAGUCAUGUAAGAGCUGAAGACAAGGGGAGAAACAGAAGUAGAUCUUGGACCUCAGCAUGGAUGCUCUACAAAUGGCUGCAUUUGUUGUUCUUUAAUUCUCAUGAUCUUUUGCUAUUAAAAUUCAGUUGAGGCUAAAAAAGAAAACAACCCUAUUUAUUAUCAAAAUCAGGCAGUAGGUAGUCAAAUGGUAGAAUAAAUACUGCUAUCUGUCUGUGAAACAAGAAUCCACAUCAUGGACAGCUCUGCUAACAUACUAAAUUAAAUUAUUUCAGGGUAGUUAUGUGCAUGUCUGGUUUUACAUAAGGUUAUGUGAUUGCAUUAUUUGUGGUCAUUCAAAAUCCUUGGGUGUUCUUUUACAAGAGUAUGGUGUUGCGUGCAGCUGGAAGAUAAUUAAAGUGCUUUGCUAAUUA
Phasianus colchicus (ring-necked pheasant) is the source of this 1513-nucleotide long non-coding RNA. RefSeq lists it as uncharacterized. NCBI's taxonomy places the organism in Eukaryota, Metazoa, Chordata, Aves, Galliformes, Phasianidae. The record is from RefSeq and is a predicted model, not a curated record.